Mauremys reevesii (Reeves's turtle) is the source of this 1049-nucleotide long non-coding RNA. RefSeq lists it as uncharacterized. The record is from RefSeq and is a predicted model, not a curated record. NCBI's taxonomy places the organism in Eukaryota, Metazoa, Chordata, Testudines, Geoemydidae. The transcript is spliced from 3 exons.
CUGGACACCCUGUAGGAGGAUUGAGAGACAGCAGUACUGGACAGGAUCAGGGGAGUCAGAGGGAGCUUGAGCCUGAUUUCUGUUGGACUGAGGGCCCACUACAAGGGCAGAGAAGGUGCUAGGGCUGUGGGGAAUUGGCCCAAGGAAAUAGAUGGUAGUGUAGGAGGAGGGGCAGUAUGUGUCUGCUAGCUAUAGGGUCCCUGGGUUGGGAUCUCCCACUUGCCCCCAGGGGGAGUAUCCAGUAUAUGCACCUCAGUUUACCACUGAGGUGAGUGGCUAGACCAGAGACUGCAGUUUGCUGCUGAGGCAAGUGGCUGGACUGAGAACUGUCAGGUCCCCCAUAAGGGAGGCUAGAGAACCUAGUGGGGUACAGCUGGAGGAUUGUGUCCAGAAGAGCAUGCUAUGGUCAGGGGAGCAACAUGGGUCCUAAAGGUGGAGGUGAGAGUGGUAACGGGGCGAGAUACCAGUAGAUCAGGGUGCUCUGGUGAAAUGAGAGCUAAUUCCCAGGAUGGCCAGCAGGAGGUGCUGCAGUGGCAUCUAAAAGUUGGGUGUGGUGAUUUUCAGCAUCAUCAGCCUAAGGUCUUUUGUGCUUGUAGACUCUUGCCACCUACCAUUAUACCUCUUCAUAACUUCAUAUAAAAACAAAGAGCACAGUACCACUGAAGAUUUUCAGGACAUUCUGGAGGAAAAACAGAUGAACUUCAACUUUACAAGGCCCCUCACCUUGUUCACUAUUUUCCAUGUCUGAGAACAAUAUCCAUAGAGAUUUUUGGGCACUUCUCACUGCCCAAAGAAACAAAGUAGCACUUAACAGCUUGCCACGUAUUUACAAGCCUGUUUACAGCUGGGAAAAGACUCAACCAGCGUGUCGAAACAUGGCGCAAUAAAGUGGCAUACUCCAUAUCCACAAAGUCAAACAUAUCCUUCGAUGCUGCUACUCUCUUAACGGAACUGCUGAAAUGAUUUAAUGUUUAAUCACCAGAGUCUCAAUGUCAACUUGUAGGGUAUUGCUAGCAUGUUUCACAGCAUUGGCAGGGCAGUUUGCAGGC